GGGUUGUGAGGUUAAGCGACUAAGCGUACACGGUGGAUGCCCUGGCAGUCAGAGGCGAUGAAGGACGUGCUAAUCUGCGAAAAGCGUCGGUAAGGUGAUAUGAACCGUUACAGCCGGCGAUGUCCGAAUGGGGAAACCCAGUGCAAUUCGUUGCACUAUCGUUAACUGAAUACAUAGGUUAACGAGGCGAACCGGGGGAACUGAAACAUCUAAGUACCCCGAGGAAAAGAAAUCAACCGAGAUUCCCCCAGUAGCGGCGAGCGAACGGGGAGCAGCCCAGAGUCUGAAUCAGCUUGUGUGUUAGUGGAACGGUCUGGAAAGUCCGACGGUACAGGGUGAUAGUCCCGUACACCAAAAUGCACAGGUUGUGAACUCGAAGAGUAGGGCGGGACACGUGGUAUCCUGUCUGAAUAUGGGGGGACCAUCCUCCAAGGCUAAAUACUCCUGACUGACCGAUAGUGAACCAGUACCGUGAGGGAAAGGCGA
This 486-nucleotide ribosomal RNA is filed under the name Klebsiella pneumoniae. Its description in RNAcentral is "bacterial LSU rRNA". It matches the Rfam family "Bacterial large subunit ribosomal RNA", at positions 1 to 517 of the family's 2925-position model. Lineage: Bacteria; Pseudomonadati; Pseudomonadota; Gammaproteobacteria; Enterobacterales; Enterobacteriaceae. The record is from RNAcentral.